AGUGAACGCUGGCGGUAGGCCUAACACAUGCAAGUCGAACGGCAGCACAGUAAGAGCUUGCUCUUACGGGUGGCGAGUGGCGGACGGGUGAGGAAUACAUCGGAAUCUACUUUUUCGUGCGGGAUAACGUAGGGAAACUUACGCUAAUACCGCAUACGACCUACGGGUGAAAGCAGGGGAUCUUCGGACCUUGCGCGAUUGAAUGAGCCGAUGUCGGAUUAGCUAGUUGGCGGGGUAAAGGCCCACCAAGGCGACGAUCCGUAGCUGGUCUGAGAGGAUGAUCAGCCACACUGGAACUGAGACACGGUCCAGACUCCUACGGGAGGCAGCAGUGGGGAAUAUUGGACAAAGGGCGCAAGCCUGAUCCAGCCAUACCGCGUGGGUGAAGAAGGCCUUCGGGUUGUAAAGCCCUUUUGUUGGGAAAGAAAAGCAGCAGGUUAAUACCCCGCUGUUCUGACGGUACCCAAAGAAUAAGCACCGGCUAACUUCGUG
Molecule: ribosomal RNA, 492 nt
Filed under: uncultured bacterium
Lineage: Bacteria
Description: partial 16S ribosomal RNA
Rfam family: Bacterial small subunit ribosomal RNA
Source: RNAcentral